AGAGUUUGAUCCUGGCUCAGAAUCAACGCUGGCGGCGUGCCUCAGACAUGCAAGUCGAACGAUUAAAGCUCUCUUCGGAGAGUGCAUAAAGUGGCGCACGGGUGAGUAACACGUAAGUAAUCUACCCUCGAGUGGGGAAUAACGUCCGGAAACGGACGCUAAUACCGCAUAAUGCAGCGGCACCGCAAGGUGACAGUUGUUAAAGAUUUAUCGCUUGAGGAGGAGCUUGCGGCAGAUUAGCUAGUUGGUAAGGUAAUGGCUUACCAAGGCUACGAUCUGUAACCGGUCUAAGAGGACGGUCGGUCACACUGACACUGAAUAACGGGUCAGACUCCUACGGGAGGCAGCAGUCGGGAAUUUUGGGCAAUGGGCGAAAGCCUGACCCAGCAACGCCGCGUGAAGGAUGAAGUAUUUCGGUAUGUAAACUUCGAAAGAAUGGGAAGAAUAAAUGACGGUACCAUUUAUAAGGUCCGGCUAACUACGUGCCAGCAGCCGCGGUAAUACGUAGGGACCAAGCGUUGUUCGGAUUUACUGGGCGUAAAGGGCGCGUAGGCGGCGUGACAAGUCACUUGUGAAAUCUCCGGGCUUAACUCGGAACGGCCAAGUGAAACUGUCAUGCUAGAGUGCGGAAGGGGCAAUCGGAAUUCUUGGUGUAGCGGUGAAAUGCGUAGAUAUCAAGAGGAACACCUGAGGUGAAGACGGGUUGCUGGGCCGACACUGACGCUGAUGCGAGAAAGCCAUGGGAGCAAACGGGAUUAGAUACCCCGGUAGUCC
Molecule: ribosomal RNA, 774 nt
Filed under: uncultured bacterium
Lineage: Bacteria
Description: bacterial SSU rRNA
Rfam family: Bacterial small subunit ribosomal RNA
Source: RNAcentral